This 852-nucleotide ribosomal RNA is filed under the name uncultured bacterium. Its description in RNAcentral is "bacterial SSU rRNA". It matches the Rfam family "Bacterial small subunit ribosomal RNA", at positions 79 to 930 of the family's 1533-position model. The record is from RNAcentral.
CUUGCUUCUCUUGAGAGCGGCGGACGGGUGAGUAAUGCCUAGGAAUCUGCCUGGUAGUGGGGGAUAACGUUCGGAAACGGACGCUAAUACCGCAUACGUCCUACGGGAGAAAGCAGGGGACCUUCGGGCCUUGCGCUAUCAGAUGAGCCUAGGUCGGAUUAGCUAGUUGGUGGGGUAAUGGCUCACCAAGGCGACGAUCCGUAACUGGUCUGAGAGGGUGAUCAGUCACACUGGAACUGAGACACGGUCCAGACUCCUACGGGAGGCAGCAGUGGGGAAUAUUGGACAAUGGGCGAAAGCCUGAUCCAGCCAUGCCGCGUGUGUGAAGAAGGUCUUCGGAUUGUAAAGCACUUUAAGUUGGGAGGAAGGGUUGUAGAUUAAUACUCUGCAAUUUUGACGUUACCGACAGAAUAAGCACCGGCUAACUCUGUGCCAGCAGCCGCGGUAAUACAGAGGGUGCAAGCGUUAAUCGGAAUUACUGGGCGUAAAGCGCGCGUAGGUGGUUUGUUAAGUUGGAUGUGAAAUCCCCGGGCUCAACCUGGGAACUGCAUUCAAAACUGACUGACUAGAGUAUGGUAGAGGGUGGUGGAAUUUCCUGUGUAGCGGUGAAAUGCGUAGAUAUAGGAAGGAACACCAGUGGCGAAGGCGACCACCUGGACUAAUACUGACACUGAGGUGCGAAAGCGUGGGGAGCAAACAGGAUUAGAUACCCUGGUAGUCCACGCCGUAAACGAUGUCAACUAGCCGUUGGGAGCCUUGAGCUUUUAGUGGCGCAGCUAACGCAUUAAGUUGACCGCCUGGGGAGUACGGCCGCAAGGUUAAACUCAAUGGAAUUGACGGGCCCGCACAAGC